Molecule: long non-coding RNA, 217 nt
Filed under: Elaeis guineensis (African oil palm)
Lineage: Eukaryota; Viridiplantae; Streptophyta; Magnoliopsida; Arecales; Arecaceae
Description: long non-coding RNA (EGUI_LNC021506)
Source: RNAcentral
UGGUGUUGGGUAUAAAAUGCCCAUAGCCGAAGUCCUCAGUGGAAUCGACUACACGACAACUUCGCCCGGGCUCCUACGGGAGCCAGGCUCCGUCACCAAGAACUCCAACAACUUCAGCCGCAAGCAGACUCCGCCCGGACUCCUACGGGAGCCGGGCUCCGCCGCCGACAUCGACUACAGGAUAGCUCCACCCGGACUCCUACGGGAGCCGGGCUCC